This 504-nucleotide ribosomal RNA is filed under the name uncultured bacterium. RNAcentral's name for it is "partial 16S ribosomal RNA". It matches the Rfam family "Bacterial small subunit ribosomal RNA", at positions 28 to 523 of the family's 1533-position model. The record is from RNAcentral.
GAUAAACGCCAGCGGCAGGCUUAACACGUGCAAGUCGAGGGGCAGCAUAGAUUGUAGCAAUACAAUUGGUGGCGACCGGCGCACGGGUGCUUAACGCGUAUGCAACCUACCCGUCACAGGGGGAUAAUCCGGAGAAAUCUGGUCUAAUACCCCAUAACAUAUGGAUCGGCAUCGGUUCAUGUUGAAAUUUUCGGAGGUGACGGAUGGGCAUGCGUAGCAUUAGCUUGUUGGUGAGGUAACGGCUCACCAAGGCGACGAUGCUUAGGGGGACUGAGAGGUUUUCCCCCCACACUGGUACUGAGACACGGACCAGACUCCUACGGGAGGCAGCAGUGAGGAAUAUUGGUCAAUGGGCGCAAGCCUGAACCAGCCAUGCCGCGUGCAGGAUGACGGCUCUAUGAGUUGUAAACUGCUUUUGUACGAGGGUAAAGUGGGUUACGUGUAACCUUUUGAAAGUAUCGUACGAAUAAGGAUCGGCUAACUCCGUGCCAGCAGCCGCCGUAA